UUUUUCGUUUGGUGGUCCUGCCUGAACUGAUGUGUUUAUUUCAAAGAUUAAGCCAUGCAUGUAUAAGUUUAAUCGUUUUAACGAGAAACCGCGAACGGCUCAUUACACUGGCCAUGAUUUACUUGAUCUUGAUUAUCUAAUGGAUAACUAAUAAUCUUUCAAGCGUCCACUUUAUCAACUUGACGGGAGCAUAAUCGACUCCUGGGGUGGUGACGGAUAACGGAGGAUAAGGGUUCCACUCCGGAGAAGUGGCCUGAGAAAUGGUCACUACGAUUAAUGAUGGCAGCAGGCUUUUAAAUUACCUCCUCUCCAUUUGAGGAGGUAGUGACGAGAAAUGAAGAGAUCGGUCUCUUUGAGGACGGUCAUCGGAAUCGGUAAAGUUUAAACACUUUAACGAGUAUCAAGCAGAGGGCAAGUCUGGUGCCAGCAGCCGCGGUAAUUCCAGCUCUGCUAAUACAUCGAAUUAUUGGCGCGGUUAAAAAGCUCGUAGUUGGAUUCGAAUCGGUACCCUGGAAUGCUCCGGGUGUUUCUGGGUGUUAUCGACUAUCUAUCCGCCAAUGGAAAUUUAUAGCCUUGGUGGAGCUUCUCGGAAACGAAAGUCUUUCGAUUCCGUGGGAAGUUGGUUGCGAAGCUGAAACUUAAAGGAAUUGACGGAAGGGCACCACUGGGAGUGGAGCUUGUCGGCUUAAUUUGACUCAACACGGGAAAACUCACCUGGCCCGGACAUUGUUAGGAUUGACAGAUUGAUAGCUUUUUCAUGAUUCAGUGUUUGUGGUGCAUGGUUGCGCUGAAGAAAAUUGAGCAAUAACAGGUCUGUGAUGCCCUUAAAUGUCCGGGGCAACCUGGCCCGGACAUUGUUAGGAUUGACAGAUUGAUAGCUUUUUCAUGAUUCAGUGUUUGUGGUGCAUGGUUGCGCUGAAGAAAAUUGAGCAAUAACAGGUCUGUGAUGCCCUUAAAUGUCCGGGGCAACCUGGCCCGGACAUUGUUAGGAUUGACAGAUUGAUAGCUUUUUCAUGAUUCAGUGUUUGUGGUGCAUGGUUGCGCUGAAGAAAAUUGAGCAAUAACAGGUCUGUGAUGCCCUUAAAUGUCCUGGGCAAUCUGUCAAUCCUAACAUUGUUAGGAUUGACAGAUUGAUAGCUUUUUCAUGAUUCAGUGUUUGUGGUGCAUGGUUACGCUGAAGAAAAUUUAGCAAUAACAGGUCUGUGAUGCCCUUAAAUGUUCGGGGAAAAAUCACCCCCGAAAGGGGUGGUUAAGUUUUUCCGUGAACGAGGAAUUCCAAGUAAAUGCGAGUCAUCAGCUCGCGUUGAUUACGUCCCUGCCCUUUGUACACACCGCCCGUCGCUGCCCGGGACUGAGACAUGUUGAGAAAUUUGGGGACCAUUUAUGUAAUUUCUCUAAAUUACUUUGAUGGAAACCAAUUUAAUCGCAGUGUCUUGAACCGGACAAAAAUCGUAACAAGGUCACUAGUGCAGAUCUUGGUGGUAGUAGCAAAUAU
Non-coding RNA from Meloidogyne enterolobii, 1495 nucleotides. NCBI's taxonomy places the organism in Eukaryota, Metazoa, Nematoda, Chromadorea, Rhabditida, Meloidogynidae. The record is from the annotation of a GenBank genome assembly.